This 463-nucleotide ribosomal RNA is filed under the name Vreelandella stevensii. RNAcentral describes it as "partial 16S ribosomal RNA". It matches the Rfam family "Bacterial small subunit ribosomal RNA", at positions 340 to 795 of the family's 1533-position model. Lineage: Bacteria; Pseudomonadati; Pseudomonadota; Gammaproteobacteria; Oceanospirillales; Halomonadaceae. The record is from RNAcentral.
CUCAGGUGGCGGCAGUGGGGAAUAUUUGACAAUGGGCGAAAGCCUGAUCCAGCCAUGCCGCGUGUGUGAAGAAGGCCUUCGGGUUGUAAAGCACUUUCAGUGGGGAAGAAAGCCUUGGGGCUAAUACCCUCGAGGAAGGACAUCACCCACAGAAGAAGCACCGGCUAACUCCGUGCCAGCAGCCGCGGUAAUACGGAGGGUGCGAGCGUUAAUCGGAAUUACUGGGCGUAAAGCGCGCGUAGGCGGUCUGAUAAGCCGGUUGUGAAAGCCCCGGGCUCAACCUGGGAACGGCAUCCGGAACUGGCAGGCUAGAGUGCAGGAGAGGAAGGUAGAAUUCCCGGUGUAGCGGUGAAAUGCGUAGAGAUCGGGAGGAAUACCAGUGGCGAAGGCGGCCUUCUGGACUGACACUGACGCUGAGGUGCGAAAGCGUGGGUAGCAAACAGGAUUAGAUACCCUGGUAGUC